CCGAGACAGGGAAAGGAUUCGGGUUUCUGGUUCUUCCAGUUUUAUUGCCUCAGCAUUAGACCUCGAUGUCUCUUUAUAUUUCACACGUAGUUAGGAUUAGGGUCUGUAGCUGUGUAUUCAUUGUUGUUUUAGUUGCUAAGUCGUGUCUGACUCUUUUGCGACCCGAUGGACUGUAGCCCGCCAGUCUGCUCUGUCCGUGGCAUUCGCCAGGUGAGAACACUGGAGUGGGAAGCCAUUCUCUUCUCCAGGGGCUCUUCCCAGCUCAGAGACUGAACCUGUGUCUCCUGAAAUGACAGGCAAAUUAUUUCCCACUGAGCCACGAGGGAAGCUAUCAGUUCCGCCUUAACCUUGUUCAUUAAAAAAGAAAAAGUGGGGCAACUCUUGCUUUCCAGGCCUCAAAACUGCGUUGUGACUUUAUUGGGCAAGACCUAAAAGACAGUCAAAUUUCCCCCAGCACGGCUGAGUAUCCUUGUGCUUUUGGCUACUGGCAUUCUGCAGCAGCUGUCUGAAGGAGAUGGAGAGCUCCAACAGGGAUGGGCCGGAACUCCAGCUGCUGGAUUAAAGAAAGUGAGAUUGAGAGACCGUCCUUCCUCAGCUGGUCCAGGAUCAACCACUUCUCCACUCUACAAGCACUACCUAGGGGCAUCUAUGUCUUCAGCAAUAAAGUUGGUUACCAACUUAACGGGCCCAAUUAAUUCAUGAAUGUGUAAAGAAGAAACAAAGAUGGUAGGGUCAGAGGCUUGAAGGGUAUAAAACAAACAGCUUCUUUCAUAAAGGCUCUUGCAGGAGAAAAGCAAAACCCCCUUCAUUCUGAAGUGUCAGGAGAGAAUGUAGUAGCAAAACAGAAAACACAGGCGUGAAUAUGGAUGCAGUUUUCC
Bos indicus x Bos taurus (hybrid cattle) is the source of this 878-nucleotide long non-coding RNA. The record is from Ensembl. Lineage: Eukaryota; Metazoa; Chordata; Mammalia; Artiodactyla; Bovidae.